UUUAUUACAUUUAUAGCUGUACAAUGAUCGUCACAACCCAAUUUUGUGAAAAAAUAAACAGUUGGUUCAACCCCCCCAAAAAAACAAUACAAUAAAAUAUUAAAAAUAAAAAACAUAGUAACAGGCUUACCAUGUCAGAGCUCAUAAAUUGCUAUCAUAUUUAUUAUCCCCCCUGGGGUUCUUAGGAUCUUGGGAGAUGCAUUUUAAAAAAAUUGUUUUCUCAGGCCUUUGGUGCAGAGAGCGCUGCUUUUUCAUCACGUUUAUCUGCUCCUCUUGUCCUGCAAGGGAGGUUGACUUGGGGUCAUCCAGGCCUUGAAUUUGGGUUCAUACCCUGGGUCCCCCACUCUGCAUCUUUUCAACCGCAGGCAAGUUUCUCCACGUUUUGAGCUUCAAUUUCCUCAAACUCCCAGUGGACCGCAGAACUUAGAUGUAUGCUCAGCCAAAUUUGAAAUAUAAAAGAGGCAUUAUUAAUUAAUUAUCAUGUCCGCAAAUGUUGAUGCAGUCCCAGUCGUGAGCCCCGCAGGAGCUGUGUAUAUUGGGGUGAGCUGGGGGAGGGGAAGGAAGUUCUGACUCCAGUCACUUCACAUUCUCCAAGACCUUCCUGAGGGGAAGGGCUUCCGAUUCGUGUAGGUCUCUAUCCUUACCUGAAAAAAAAAAAAUUCUUUUUUUUUGCUCCACUUUGCUACUUAUAUUCACUUCAGUCUACUACGAGUCAUAAAUUUCAUGUUUCAUUUUUACUCCAAAUUUAUAUUUAUUAAUUGAAAUAUCACAUUUUUGUCAUCAUAAAGAAAAUUCCUGUGAAAACUCUUUUCAUUGCUUUCCUGACCCAUAACAAGUUUUCAGUGUAAUAAAUACAAGCAACACGAUACUCCGAAUAUCUGUCUGCAGUGAAACAUGAAUAGCUUCUUUAGAAAUUGAAGUAUUAAAAGGUUAGAAGGACGUAGUGUUUGAGGGCUGGGAGAACCUCUUUUUCAUGAUGUGUUCUCAAAAGAAGAGUAACUUCCCUCUGGUCGCUGGGUUGUCGGUGGCAGACCUAGAGCUGGAACCCAGGGUUGCUGUUGCUUGAGCUUAUAGAGUCUUAGCAACUUACUGUCUUAGGAAUAAGCUCUGCUGUGUUUGCUCCCUUUUCUUUACUCUUUCUUCUUUACUGAAGACUCCUGGGAGUUCCCUGGUGGCCUAGUGGUUAAGAAUUCGGCAUUAUCACUGCUCUGGCUCAGGUUCAAUCCCUGGCUCAGGAACUUCUGUAUGCAUGGGUACCAGCAAAAAGAAACAAAAAAUAAAAAACUCCUGGAAGAACUCACACUUUAAAAUUAGGUAGACUGGAGUUCUCAUUGUGAUGCAUCGGAAAUGAAUCCGACUAGUAUCCAUGAGGAUGUGGGUUUGAUCCCUGGCCUAGCUCAGUCAUUGUGUGACUUAGUUUGGAGCCUCAUUCUAACUGGUUUCCUUAUAAGAAGUCAGGGUUUUUUCAGAUUCUUUUGCACUCCUCCUUGAAUUUAUCUGACAAGCCCAGCAGCAUGCUGCUGUGAAGGGCAGCGCAAGCCAGCCUUCUGAGAGUGGCCCCUGCCUCUGUCCCUCUACCUCCCCAUACCUGGCCCCAUCCUGAGCUCAGUUCCCAGGACACACCUCUGCUAUUGUUGUGCAUGCUGCUCCCUCACCUGGGUCAUUACUCUCACCCCAUUCACCAGGCUAACUCCUGGUCAUCCUUCAAAACCCAGCAGCCAUUUGACUGGGCCGUCAUCCUUAACAUUCAAGCUUCCAGAUGCCCUUGGUGAGUUAAUCAUUGAUUAUUAGCCCCUGGCACCUCCUCAUAUCUCUCAAAUCCAUCCCCCCCCUCCCCCACUGCCCCUCUCCUGAAGAUAGCUCUGGCUGUCUUCAUCUGUCAUCCAGAUCAUUCUAGCACCCUGCUGAGUGGUCCUUAGGUUUUCGAAUCAUCCAUCUCCAAGCUCUUCCUGACACCGCUCACUAACGGGAAGAUCUGAUCAGGCUCGACCUUUGCUCCAACCCCUUCUGGGAACAGCCCCCACGGCCCUCAGGAUGGCGUCCCUGCUGCGUAUCGGGGCUUCAAGGAGGCCCUUCCCAGUCUGACCGUCCUUAUCUUUGCAGGCACAUCCCUCACUGCUCUUCCAGAAUGAUACUCUGCUCCCUGACUCGACUGAGUUCAUUUCGGUCCCCCAAUCUUACUGCGUUGUUUUUCAGAUUUGGAAUUUUGCAGAUGCUUUUUGUUCUCUCAGGAAUACUUCUUUUUAAAAAAUUUUUUUAUUGUUAUUUCCCCAAUUUUGUUCUACUGUACGGCGUGGUGACCCAGUUACGCAUACAUGUAUACAUUCUUUUUUUCUCACAUUACCAUGCUCCAUCAUAAGUGACUAGACAUAGUUACCAGUGCUGCACAGCAGGAUCUCAUUGCUAAUCCACUCCGAAAGCAGUAGUUUACAUCUAUUAACCCCAAGCUCCCAGUCCAUCCCACUCCCUCCUGCUCCCCCUUGGCAACCACAAGUCUAUAGCAUACUUCUUAAAAAAAAAAAAUCUCUUUAAAGCCAAGUUUCCUUUUGCUUUAGUUGCAAAUUAGACAUUAUUUUUCCCAGAACUGCCCUGGGGACCUAAAGCAACCUACCCAGUGUGACCCUCAAUCGUGGGUCUUGACCUGUCUGAGUGCUCUCAAAGUACCUCAUUUGGCCCAUCAUAAUACAUGAUUUUAAUUAUUUGGGAUUUUUUUUUCUUUUGGUCUUUUUCGGGCCGCACCUGCGGCACAUGGAAAUUCCCAGGCUGAGGGUCCAAUCGGAGCUGUAGCUGCCAGCCUGCACCACAGCCACAGCAACGUGGGAUCCAAGCUACCUCUGUGAUCUACCUGCAGCUUGUGGCAACACUGAUCCUUAACCCACUGAGCGAAGCCAGGGAUCGAACUCGUGUCCUUAUGGAUACUAGUCAGCUUUGUUACUGCUGAGCCACAAUGGGAACUCCCAAGUUAUUUUAAUUAUCUUUUUGUUCCAUUUUAUCACUCACUAGGCCGGGAGCUCUGUGAGUGCAAGGACCCUGUCUGGCUUGUUAACCACUUCACUUCUACCACUGAGCACAAUGUUGAAAGAUAUAGGUGUAUAACAAUGUUUGUUGAAUGAAUAAAAGAAUGAACGUAUGACUAAGGAAGCCUCACGUGCCUGGAUUUGUGAGAAUAAGCAUCCUGUAUUAAAAAUCAUCACAACUGCCACACUUUUCCUGUCAUUUUUUCCCCCUUAUUUCUGUCUCUACCGUGAACUUUGAGUUCCUAGCAUAGCACCCAGAGCACGGUAGCUACUCACUAAAUGUUUGUAGAAUUAAUUAUUGUAAAGUUUGGGAGAGAAGGAUUUGCACAAAGAGAAAGAAAAUUGAAAACUGCAAAGAAACAUCUCCCCUAAAAGCUGGCUCUAGAGAUUCCGAUUAUGUGGCACUGAAAAUUCCUCCCUUUCCGUGAACGACUUCUCCUUUGGCAGUGUGUGUCCAAUCACGUCUGGCGCUGUAAUUCAGCAUGAUGUGGGCCAUAUUGGUAGUAAGAGCUAUACGAUUUGCCAUAUUAGUUCAUCCCUCUGCUUCAUUAAGCUCAGUGUGCUGCCUUUGGCAGUGGCUGGGCUUGAAUUUUGAUGUUUGGAGGAACAAAGCCCUUCAUAUCAGCCUGUGAGUCAGGUACAGGUUCCUUCUUUCCCAGGGUCCAAGAGUCCUCAUCUUUGCAGGUAAUCAGUAAGUGGCCCAUAGCACAGGGUUGUAUUAUCCAUGUGGGUUUGCUGAGCAGACAGUGUUCUCAGGUGUACUGGCAUGUCAGCCACCCCCUCCUGUCACGGCGUGGCUUCUGGGAGGUCAGAGUACAUUUGUGUUGCAAGAGUGCACAUUUCUGCACAGUCCAUCAAGAGAGCACCCACAGGUCAAAGGCAGAGGAGAGGGUGGAGCGGGAAUAAAGGAGGAACUAAUGGCCGUUGUUCCAGUUGUCUCGAUUAAGCUUGAAAAUAACCUCUCGGUGAGCAUUCCCAUUCUCAUGGGCAGCAGCCGAGGCUCAGAGAGGCGAACCACCUGCCUGAGACCACAAGACACGUGGCAAGUUAGGGACCCAUUUGCACCUAACUCUCUCGGAUCCCAGAGCCUGUCCCCACACUCAAGCCUAGACUAAGUUGCUCCCUACUGAUUGGGUGUCCUCUUGUUAAUUACCAAGUGAUACUUACACUGAAAGACAUCUUCCUACAGAUGCCAAGGGCAGCCCCAUCAUUGGAGGCUGCCUGUGCACCAGAAAGGAAUGAUGGGAGAUCACACGGUGGUGGCAGAAAGGGAGUCAGAAAAGCAGAGAAGCCCAGAUCUUUACCCGCUCCUGUCUGGGGUGUGUGGGAGGCUGUCCACCCGAGUCCUCCGCAUGGCUGAGAAGGACACAUUUCCCUUCCUUAAGGAGGAUGUCAGUUAGUCCAGUUUUUCCAGAUGUUUUGUGGUCUUUACAGAGGUAAGGAUUUUUAUGCAUAAAUCGAAGUGCAUUUUCAGAUUGUUGUUUGGAGCGGGUGCUCUGGUUUUGCACAUGCCCCAGAUCAGUGAGUAGUACCAUCGGCUCCGUUCACCUCCCAGGGGGCAUCCCCCACGUCAGACUUAGUAAGGCGGAUGCUCGUGAUGAAGGUAGUUACUCUCUGUCUGUCCACAAUUACAGAACACCAGGCAGUGUAUUCGAGACUUUCCUUGUAUUUUCUCACUCAGAGCAACCCUUUGAGGUAACUAUAUGAAAUCUCACAUUUAUAGAUGAGAAAAUAGAGAGUGGAGAGAUGAGACAGAGAGAGUCAAGACCAUAACCACAGAACUGAUGCUUGGAAGAGCCCCCGAGGUUCUGUAUCACCCAUCUAUCAGCAGACGUCAUGUGUGCCUUGCACACCCCUGCCAUGAGAUUGCUUUCACUCCCCUUUCCACCUGGAAAAAAAGUCCUUUCUCUCUCACCUGCCUGCCAAGUUUCACAGGAUCCUCUGAGACCCAGCUGGAUGGCACUUCCUGGAAGCUCUUCCUCAGGGGUUAAACUUUCCUUUCGCUCCACGCCGGGGUUAAACUUUCCUUUCGCUGUGAUUCUCAGCAUAUGAUUUUUUAAAAAGUUUAAUUCAGAUGAAGUUCUCCUCUCUUUCUUCCAUGUAUUAGGAUUGCACUGAUAGACUCUCUUCCAUGCUGGAUUGAUGGCAGGGACUAGGUCUUGUCCUUGAUUAUAUCUUCUCAAAGCUGGGCAGAGGAGAAUUUAUUAGAGUUUCUAGUGGGGAAAAUGGGAAGUGCCAUUAAUUACAUGACAACUCAGUGCAGUCAGAGAAUAAAAUGAGAAUGCAAGAGAUUUACGCUGUUGGUAAUACUCCCAUUUUGCAGAUGAGGAAACAUACUCUGAAAAGUUCACAGUUUGUUCAAAGUCACCCGUCAUGUAAAUGGAAGAGCAGGAAUUUUAAACUCAGGUCUCAGUGGUCCAGAGCAAAGGCCCUCUUUGCUAUAUUCUGCAUUUUUUCCAGCAGUGGCCAAUGGAGUAACACCUCAGUGAAAGCUCCUUUCCUAGGGCUCUGCUUCAUGUUUCAAAGUGGUAACAAUAUAUGUGAUUUACUUUGAUAAAGACUUUCUAUAUAAGCAUCAGAAAUUCACUUCCCUCGGAGUUCCCAUUGUAGCUCAGCAGAAACGAAUCUAACUAGCAUCCCAGAGGACGCAGGUUCAAUCCCUGGCCUUGCUCAGUGGGUUAAGGAUCUGGUGUUACCAUGAGCAGUGGUGUAGGUCGCAGACACAGCUUGGAUCUAGCGUUGCCGUGGCUGUGGCUGUGGCGUAGGCCAGCGGCUACAGCUCCAAUAUGACCCCGAGCCUGAGAACCUACAUAUG
RNAcentral lists this long non-coding RNA (5832 nucleotides) under Sus scrofa (pig). RNAcentral's name for it is "lncRNA (ENSSSCG00040059257.1)". The record is from RNAcentral. Lineage: Eukaryota; Metazoa; Chordata; Mammalia; Artiodactyla; Suidae.